GUCGUCAGCUCGUGCCGUGAGGUGUUGGGUUCAGUCCCGCAACGAGCGCAACCCUCGCCCUUUGUUGCCAUCGGGUAAAGCCGGGCACUCUAAGGGGACUGCCAGCGACAAGUUGGAGGAAGGAGAGGAUGACGUCAAGUCAUCAUGGCCUUUAUGCCUAGGGCCACACACGUGCAACAAUGGCCGGUACAGACGGAGGCAAUGCCGAGAGGCGGAGCAAACCCGAGAAAACCGGUCCCAGUUCGGAUUGAGGUCUGCAACUCGACCUCAUGAAGUCGGAAUCGCUAGUAAUCGCAUAUCAGAACGAUGCGGUGAAUACGUUCCCGGGCCUUGUACACACCGCCCGUCACACCACGAAAGUUUGUGUACCCGAAGUCGGUGCCUUAACCUCGCAAGAGGAGAGAGCCGCCCAAGGUAUGGCCGAUGAUUGGGGUGAAGUCGUAACAAGGUAGCCGUAGGGAACC
This 464-nucleotide ribosomal RNA is filed under the name uncultured bacterium. Its description in RNAcentral is "bacterial SSU rRNA". It matches the Rfam family "Bacterial small subunit ribosomal RNA", at positions 1051 to 1511 of the family's 1533-position model. The record is from RNAcentral.